This 97-nucleotide transfer RNA is filed under the name Actinomadura coerulea. RNAcentral describes it as "tRNA-Gln". The record is from RNAcentral. Lineage: Bacteria; Bacillati; Actinomycetota; Actinomycetes; Streptosporangiales; Thermomonosporaceae.
GCGCUUGUGGGUGACCUGGUAGAAGCCGACGCCGUCCUGGUCGGCGCCGUUGAAGUCGUGGUUGGCGGCGAGGCCGUACGACUUGGCCGACUGCACC